RNAcentral lists this ribosomal RNA (429 nucleotides) under Chloroflexota bacterium. RNAcentral describes it as "Chloroflexi bacterium partial 16S ribosomal RNA". It matches the Rfam family "Bacterial small subunit ribosomal RNA", at positions 355 to 776 of the family's 1533-position model. The record is from RNAcentral. Lineage: Bacteria; Bacillati; Chloroflexota.
UGGGGAAUAUUGCACAAUGGGCGCAAGCCUGAUGCACCCAUGCCGCGUGUAUGAAGAAGGCCUUCGGGUUGUAAAGUACUUUCAGCGGGGAGGAAGGGAGUAAAGUUAAUACCUUUGCUCAUUCACGUUACCCGCAGAAGAAGCACCGGCUAACUCCGUGCCAGCCGCCGCGGUAAUACGGAGGGCGCAAGCGUUAAUCGGAAUUCCUGGGCGUAAAGCGCACGCAGGCGGGUUGUUAAGUCAGAUGUGAAAUCCCCGGGCUCAACCUGGGGACUGGAGCUGAUACUGGCAAGCUUGAGUCUCGUAGAGGGGGGUAGAAAUCCAGGUGGAGCGGUGAAAUGCGUAGAGAUCUGGGGGGAUACCGGUGGCGAAGGCGGCCCCCUGGGCGAAGACUGACGCUCAGGGGCGAAAGGGUGGGGAGCAAAAAGG